Molecule: ribosomal RNA, 252 nt
Filed under: uncultured bacterium
Lineage: Bacteria
Description: partial 16S ribosomal RNA
Rfam family: Bacterial small subunit ribosomal RNA
Source: RNAcentral
UACAGAGGGUGCGAGCGUUGUCCGGAUUUAUUGGGCGUAAAGAGCUCGUAGGCGGCUUGUCGCGUCGACUGUGAAAUCCCGCGGCUCAACUGCGGGUCUGCAGUCGAUACGGGCAGGCUAGAGUUCGGUAGGGGAGACUGGAAUUCCUGGUGUAGCGGUGAAAUGCGCAGAUAUCAGGAGGAACACCGAUGGCGAAGGCAGGUCUCUGGGCCGAUACUGACGUGAGGAGCGAAAGCGUGGGGAGCGAACAGG